GACGAACGCUGGCGGCGUGCUUAACACAUGCAAGUCGAACGGAAAGGCCCUGCUUUUGUGGGGUGCUCGAGUGGCGAACGGGUGAGUAACACGUGAGUAACCUGCCCUUGACUUUGUGAUAACUUCAGGAAACUGGGGCUAAUACCGGAUAGGAGCUCCUGCUGCAUGGUGGGGGUUGGAAAGUUUCGGCGGUUGUGGAUGGACUCGCGGCUUAUCAGCUUGUUGGUGGGGUAGUGGCUUACCAAGGCUUUGACGGGUAGCCGGCCUGAGAGGGUGACCGGCCACCAUGGGCCUAAGAUACGCACCAGAAUCCUACGGGAGGCAGCAGUGGGGAACAUUGCACAGUGGGCGGAAGCCAGAUGCAGCAACGCCGCGUGCGGGAUGACGGCCUUCGGGUUGUAAACCGCUUUCGACGGUGACGAAGCGUGAGUGACGGUAAUGGGUAAAGAAGCACCGGCUAACUACGUG
This 468-nucleotide ribosomal RNA is filed under the name uncultured bacterium. RNAcentral describes it as "partial 16S ribosomal RNA". It matches the Rfam family "Bacterial small subunit ribosomal RNA", at positions 28 to 507 of the family's 1533-position model. The record is from RNAcentral.